CACGGCUUUCGACGUGGAUUGCAAAACCCGAGGUGCAUGCCGAGGAUGCAGAGAUCCUCGUAAAUCCCUCUGCAAAAAGAUAGUUGCCAACGACGACAACUACGCACUCGCUGCCUAAACACCAGUAGAGUGCCGUCUCACCGGGCUGUGCCCGUGCGGUCCGGAUUCGAGGCGUCAUCCUUCACGGGAUCGCGGCAAGGCUCGUCCGGGGCCAAGCCGUUAAACCCUUACCGGACUCGCCGCAAAACCGCCCUGUCCGUCGGGUGGCAAGCGGUCAAAUCUCAAUAGACGGACUAAGCAUGUAGAGCCGAGGGCGGAGGAUCCGCGGACGCGGGUUCGAUCA
This 343-nucleotide transfer-messenger RNA is filed under the name Thiolapillus brandeum. It matches the Rfam family "transfer-messenger RNA". Rfam says of the family: Bacterial tmRNA, also known as 10Sa RNA or SsrA, is named for its dual tRNA and mRNA-like properties. Lineage: Bacteria; Pseudomonadati; Pseudomonadota; Gammaproteobacteria; Chromatiales; Sedimenticolaceae. The record is from RNAcentral.